UGUGCACCGGUGGGGUCCCUCAGCCUGGCCUGUGCCCUCUUGCAAUUCAGGACCCCUUGAGGGGUGUUGGAGAGCCGGUUUCAGCCCAAUCCCCACAGGCCAGGCUGAGGGACCCCACCAGUGCAUG
Molecule: microRNA precursor, 127 nt
Filed under: Myotis brandtii (Brandt's bat)
Lineage: Eukaryota; Metazoa; Chordata; Mammalia; Chiroptera; Vespertilionidae
Description: mir-9193 microRNA precursor family
Rfam family: mir-9193 microRNA precursor family
Source: Rfam by way of RNAcentral